RNAcentral lists this non-coding RNA (45 nucleotides) under Schistosoma mansoni. Lineage: Eukaryota; Metazoa; Platyhelminthes; Trematoda; Strigeidida; Schistosomatidae. The record is from RNAcentral.
ACCCGGCCGACGAGUCCCAAAUAGGACGAAAGGCGCAUUCUGGUU